Non-coding RNA from Schizosaccharomyces pombe (fission yeast), 517 nucleotides. NCBI's taxonomy places the organism in Eukaryota, Fungi, Ascomycota, Schizosaccharomycetes, Schizosaccharomycetales, Schizosaccharomycetaceae. The record is from the annotation of a GenBank genome assembly.
UUUUCCUUGACCAGUUUACUCAUUGAUUUAUUUCAACAACCUUCCAAAGAACUCCAAUGCUAAAAGUAUCACUUGUCCUCACACUUCUGAACUAUUUACUCUUAAGAUUAGAUGAGAAACUCACAAUUCAAGCUGAAGCGAGCUCUGCAAGUCAUUAAAAUUAUUCAAUUCCAACAACUAAGCAAAAAAUUAUUUAAAGUCAAAUAAACAAAUGAAAAAAAUAGUUGCGCGGCCAGGUUUCGAUCCUGGGACCUACGGGUUAUGAGCCCGUCGGAGUUCCACUCUCCUACCGCGCACAAAUACCGUCACCAGCAGGAUUUGAACCUGCGCGGGCAGAGCCCAUUAGAUGACUAGAAUACAGGAUUCAAGUCUAACUCCUUAACCACUCGGACAUAGUGACUUCUUGAAAGCUAUCUCAAAUUUGUGAUAUAUAUUCACAGUUUUUGUAAAAGGUUAACUAAAUCUGUUAUUCGAGAAUUUGAAUUGUGUUAUACAAAUUGUAAAACUAGUUGGUAAA